Molecule: transfer RNA, 97 nt
Filed under: Acrocarpospora phusangensis
Lineage: Bacteria; Bacillati; Actinomycetota; Actinomycetes; Streptosporangiales; Streptosporangiaceae
Description: tRNA-Arg
Source: RNAcentral
GAGCUGGUUGGCGGCUUUCACGGUCUGGCCCGCUCCGGACGGGCCCACGUGCACGAUCGUGGUGCCCAGCACCCGGAGCACCUCCCGGGCCGACUCC